This 270-nucleotide ribosomal RNA is filed under the name uncultured bacterium. Its description in RNAcentral is "partial 16S ribosomal RNA". It matches the Rfam family "Bacterial small subunit ribosomal RNA", at positions 1234 to 1500 of the family's 1533-position model. The record is from RNAcentral.
CUAUAACAAAGGGAAGCGAAACAGUGAUGUGAAGCGAAACUCAAAAAAGUAAGUCUCAGUUCGGAUUGAAGGCUGAAAUUCGCCUUCAUGAAGCCGGAAUUGCUAGUAAUGGCAGGUCAGCAUACUGCCGUGAAUACGUUCCCGGGCCUUGUACACACCGCCCGUCACACCAUGGGAGUCGGCAACGCCCGAAGCCAGUGACCCAACCUUUCGAGGAGGGAGCUGUCGAAGGCGGGGCCGGUAACUAGGGUGAAGUCGUAACAAGGUAAC